UACGUAGGUGGCAAGCGUUGUCCGGAUUUAUUGGGUUUAAAGGGUGCGUAGGCGGCCUAUUAAGUCAGUGCUGAAAUCCUCCGGCUUAACCGGAGAUGUGGCAUUGAUACUGAUGGGCUUGAGUACAGAUGAGGUAGGCGGAAUUGACGGUGUAGCGGUGAAAUGCUUAGAUAUCGUCAAGAACACCUAUAGCGAAGGCAGCUUACUAGGCUGUAACUGACGCUGAGGCACGAAAGUGUGGGGAUCAAACAGG
RNAcentral lists this ribosomal RNA (253 nucleotides) under uncultured bacterium. RNAcentral describes it as "partial 16S ribosomal RNA". It matches the Rfam family "Bacterial small subunit ribosomal RNA", at positions 524 to 776 of the family's 1533-position model. The record is from RNAcentral.